UUGGAAGGGGGGCAAGGGGCGCAAGCAGGGCAUCCUGCCAUGUACCCUUUGCCCUUAUUUUGUUUUUCUGCCAUGCCAGCACUCUGGCACCUUCCGAGGCAGGCAUUGUGGUGUUUUUUGGCACUCUGGCCAAAAUACAUUGCCUACCUCUGCUCUAGUUAAAGAUAUUCCCUAGGUUUAUUUUACUCUCACAAUAUACCACAACGAAUGCUGUUACAUUUAUGUGACAUAAUGCAUUUAAGACACAUAAUGAGUUAAUAUGUUAUUACUGGUAAAUGCUAGGGGGCACCUCAUAACAAUUUUACCCUUCUGACCUCCUAGUACUAAAUUACAUCGGGGGUAGUUUAAGAACGUAUUUCAUGAUUGGUUUUAUUUUUUGUGUGGCUUUCAGUUACACUCCUCCCCACUCCCCCCAAAUUUCUUCCAUUCAACCAGUUAUUCAUUGCUGGAUGCUCUCUCUUGGUGUUCUUCCUGACAUAUCUACAUAGUAUCCACUUUUUCCCCCUCCCAUCACUGGGGGGAUGCUUGGGGUUUUCAGUGGAGCCCCUAAUUCAAAGACUGGAAGAAAUUGUUACCUGCUGAGCAAAGCCUCUUUGGAUGCUUUCAGCCAUCACCCUAGCCAGAGAAAGCUGGAGUGCGUGCUAGGGGGACCUCGUGGCACUAAGGUGGGCUGCUCUUUUGGGGAAACACUCUCCCUGCACUGGCCACUAAUCUGAGCUGUUGGGGGUAGGCACUGCAGUCCCCUAAUUCAAAGACCCAAAGGAAUUGUUGCCUGCUAGGUGAACCAUCUUUGGAUGCUUGCAGCCAACACCUUGGAAGCCCGGCUUCAUGUUUGGGGGACCUUGGUAACUAGGGGCACUGUUUUUGGGAAAUGUGAAAGGCUACCUUGGCCAGCCCUCACCUCCAGCUUCAAGUGGACCUCAGGUGGCCAGCAUAAGCCAUAUGGGGAGGGAGGAGGAGAGGUGGACUUGGGGUGAGACAUGGGUUUUUUUUGGUUUGGAGUUCCAUAAACUGUCUCCCCGUGCACACCACUAAUCAGAACCCCGCACAAGGGCAGCUUUUCUGCUGGUCAGUGAAGCAUUUUUGAGUGCUUUCCCCGAAAAAAUGUACUUGCAAGGUUAAUGUUGGGGAAAACCAGUAAGGGGCUUUUACUUUUUCUAAAUUUGCUUUUCCAUGCAGCAUCAUUCAUCAUUUCAUAAAACAACUUCACGCAUGCUUGCAAUUCUGCCUCAGGCAGCACAAUUGGAAACUAUGCAAACACAGCUUAUCUCUUUUUAGCGGGCAUUGAUCACCAGCCUACCCAUACCCCACAUGCCCCCACCCCUGGCAUACCUGCUUUUUCUCUCCUCCCAUCACCGGGGGGACUCUUGUGGUUUCCAGGGGAGCCCCAAAUUUGAAUACCAAAAGGAAUUGUUGCCUGCUGGGCAAAGCAUCUUUGGACGCUUGCAGCCAUCACCCUGACCAGAGAAAUCCUGGGUGCAUGCUAGGGGGACCUCAGGGCACAAAGGUGGGGUGCUCUUUGGAAAACACUCUCCCUGCACUGGCCACCAAUCAGAACCUCGCAAAAGCACAAUUUUUCUGUCAGUCAGCAAAGCAUCGUUGGCUCAGUCACAGGCAUUGUUUUAUCCAGGGGUGAUUACUGCCUCCUGGCUCUGGGGGACCACCAGUGGUUGAUCUCCAGGGUGGGGUCCACCAGCGGCUGAUCACUGAUGAGGGUGGCGGCCCCAGGGGCCAAUCGCCAACCGGAAGUGCUGGCAGCGCUUCUUUGGGUGUCCCAAUGAUCGGGGGGGGGGGGAGGGCACCAGCCAGAGGCUUCUUUUAGCACUCCCUCCCCGGCGGGCAAGGGCCAAUUUGGGGAAGGGGGGGGGGAGCACAUGCCCACCCCCAUGCCCCAUCUACAAGUCUCUUAUGAUCUUAUCAGCUUACCCUAUUUACAUGUCAAUUCCUGUUUCCUGCAUCUCCAGUUACUGCGAUCCAGGAGUGCCUAGAGUUUGUAGGUGCACCUCAUAUUACAGCAUUAACCCCCCUGUUUUAAAACUUUUUUUCUUUCUAUUUUACCCUUUGGGUCUUUCUUGCCUCACCUCCCCACCUUUUUGACAGCGCUGGCCCUGCAUGGCCAUGCAUGCUUUGCCAAUCCUCAGCACCGCCCAGGGCUACCCAAGGGUUGUCGCACCCCAGGGGCUUCAUGCCUCGUCUGUCAUCCCUGCUUGGGUGCUAGUUUCACAGUGUUCCUAAUGCUCCCCCAUUCAGUUCCUGAAGUGGCAUAAGAGCCACCCUUAACACUGAGCCCCAAGGAGUCUUUUUCUACUCCUUCCCCCACUCCCCUCUACCAUGCUGUUGCUGCUUCUGGUUUCCCAGUAAUGGUUAAAGGACUUACCUUUCCUCUUGUUUCAAAAAUAAAUUGUAAUUGCUGAUAGUAUACAAGUAUAAACCUAAGAAAAGGAGAAAGAUUCUUCAUUUACUUAAGUAAUCUUUAAUGAUUUAUUUACUAUAAUGUAAUCUUUAAUGAUUUUUUUUUCCCUUUGUGUUUAUACUUAGUUGCUGUAGAGUAGUUUGGCAACUCUUUGAAAGAUUAAACCUAUAUUUCAGCUAGAAGCUUAUGUAAGUUCUGUGUUAAAACCAUGCUGAGGUUAGGAUGUUCUGUUUGGAUUAAUAUGAAAGUUACAGGCAAAAUAGGGAAAGUCUGGAACAUGCAGUGAAAUGGGCACUUGGGAGAGGGGAGGGGAGAAAAUCCCUACAUGCACCAAGUGUUAGGGCUUUUGGCAGAAAGUUGUGAAGCAAAGAAAAAGACCUUUUGAGCAUGUGGCCCCAUGAUGCUGUUGGCUACAAAUGUCCAACUCGGGAUCCUUAAAAUUCUGGUUUAUUAGGCGGAUUGAAGCACUGUAAUGAAGUUAAAUCAUAAACCUUGGGGCUGGUCCCCCACGCGCACACACAGUAGUGAGCUACAAGAGUCAGGUAUACCUAUCCCACAGGCACUGGAGUCUGCCGUCGAGGCUUCUUUCAGCAUAGUGUUAUCCUCCAGAAGGGGGUCGCCAGCUGGUCCUUCUGGCUGGACAGUUGGGUGCUGGUCAAGUUGGAGCUCAAGAGGGCGCCACUGAGGGUCACUUUUCACUGCUUUUUUUCUAUUCUUGGCAGACUUUGGUGACUGCCCGGUUUUCAGGUUUGCCCAAUCCAGGGGUCAUUGACCCUCGUGGGACUUCCCCCUCGGUGGCUACUGGAUGGCAUCUGUCAGCCCCAGGAGUCGUCCGCAUGUACAUGCAGGUUUGGGAGUCCAUUAAUGAAUUUUGAAUAGGGCUCUGGGAGUGGUUGAUCUGGAGAUAUUCAUGCCCAAAAGUUGGUCCCUGGCAUUGAUUAACUCAGGCCAGGGCUUCUAGCCCUUGAACAGUGACUGUAGAGAUUUCCUGGUUGCUACAUUGUCUCCUAUUGAUUUCUUCCCUUGGUUGAUCUGCAGUUUCCCUAGGUGUUAAUUACUGCCUGCUACUGUGUUACACAUUCAAUCACUGAUUCACUCGCUCUUUCAGGGGCUCACCUGAUACUGGGAAACAGCAGUUUGACUACUGCCCUUGUUAACAUUGUUACAAUGUAUAACUUACUUCUGAAACUAAACACAUUUAGUUGAAAGGUGAGGAGUAUAAAAUAUAAGCUACAAAAGUAAUGCCAUGGCACACAAAUAGAUAAAAAUACCAAAAUACAAGGGGAGAUACUAAAUGCACACAUGCAAAUUUUAAAACACAAUUCCUCAUCUUAAAGUGAAAGAAAGAGGAAGGAAGAAAAGGUAGAAGAGGAAAAAGAUAUCCAAGGAGGGGAGAGCAACUGCAGGCAGGAAGAAAAGGGGGCUGUCUGCUACAAUGCAAUGGUAGCAUGUCUGACUCCAGAUCAGAAGGUUGUGUGUUCAAAUCACACUGGGGUCAACUGCACCCUUCUGAGUAGAUUCUGUCCCUGGGAGAUCCUCACCAUGCGUGGUGGCUUUGCUGUUGUUUGUAAGGAGGCCUUCUUAUUUUUUAACCAAAAAUGCCCAUAAUGAAAAACACCAUACCUCGAAGUCUGCAUAGAUAGAAAAGCUGUCUGGUGUGAUGGAGUAGGCUAGGAAACUUUAUUUUUUUCUGUUGCAGAGUAGAGAGGGGCAUUUCAGGCUCCCUGUACUGGGUCAGCCAAGUAGCAAAAAUCACUUCAGCAUGUUCUCCUGCUCAAAGGGUCCUUCUUUGUGGUCAGUGAGUCUUUCCAGUGUGACACAUUGCAGGGCAAAGAGGAGUAUGAUUGAGAUCUUCCAAGAAACACUGAAGCAAGGGGGUAUUUUGGUGAGUGGGUGCGCUUGGGUGUUUGCACCCCAUUUUGGUUCCUGCUCCAUGCAAAGUUUAAAACCAACUGCCUGUUUCAGGCAGUGGCAUUUCAGCUGAGGCAGAAGUAAGGGAAUCAAUUGAUUUCAUGGGUCACUUAAGACUUCUUUUUCCUUGUAAAAUCUUCAUUCUAUACACUGCAAAGAGGAAAGCAUCCUGGUUGAGAUGUGAUGGAGAAGAGAGACAGUGACCCUUUUCUUCUGACAGUGUGGUACCAUGAUAGCUUAUCUGGCUUCCAUUCAGCAUGUUGUGUCACCAGGGUCUGGCUCCUUUUUUAUCUGGGUGAGUUUUGGGUCCCUCUGAAAGACUGCCCACACAGGGAAGAAUGUUGGUGGUGGAACAAGGGAUACAUCGAUGGGUAGGUCAAAAGAGAAAUGGGCAUGGUGAACUGGAGUAGACCAGAGUGCUUUGUUUACUCCUUGAUGGGUGGGGAGGGUCACUUCAGAUUCUCUGUGCCAAGAUGGCUAGAUGAGAAAGAUCACCACUACUUGGACUUCUGCCCAAAAUGUGGCAAUGAUGGUGGCUGAGUUUGCUUAUUUUGGUUUAUUGAGCAGGAGUUCUUUCAGGAAAUGCUAGGGUGGGAUGCCCACCUAGAGCAAGAGGAAGGAUGGGGAGGAGGAGAUGAUGGGGGGCAGACAAAUGCUGUACCCAUGUAAUACAAUGGAAGCUGGUGUGAUUUCAUGUGAAAAAGUUGUGUAUUCAGAUCCCACCAGGGUCAUUACCUUGUUCUUCUUCCUUUGGGACCACUGGUUGCUAAGUCCUUCUACCCUGUGUGUGUGAGGUGAGUGCUGCUAGAGCCUCUACUCUUGGGUCAUUCACAUGCCCUUGCACUUUGCUUGUGCUGCACCACUUGUACUUAGUCCUUCCUUUUCCUGAACUGCCCCUUGACUCGUAAGGUGUCCUUCAAGGACCUGCUUUUGUGUUCUUCCUGUUGCUAACCUGAAAAAAGCUCCUUCUGUUGAAGCAGCUCUUCUAUGAAACCUGGUCGAUGAUUGUGGUCCAGGCAGUGAAGCAGAAGCACUCUGGCACCCCUGAAUUACAUGGAGAUGCUUGGAUCUCAUCAGGCCAGCAAGGAAUAUAAUAGAAUAUGCAGUCCUGAAGAAUGGGCCAACACGCAGCACUGGAACCUCAGAGGAAGAGAUGCAUGGCCCACUGGACUCUAUGGAUGUUUUGCUCUGAGGUGAGCAGGCCCAGUGUGGUGUACAGAAGCACUGGUAGCAACUGUGUCUUUGUGAACACCACACCCUACCAACCACACCCUACCCAUCUUCAAGUUGCGCAUAUUCCAUGGUCCCAAUUUCACUUUGACCUUGGUGUCAGUCUUCUCCCUUGCUUUCUGUCCAGUCAGCCCCAGGACAAACACCAUCUCAAGGAUCCUUACAUUCUCACAGGGGAUGGAGAACUCCAGGUCUUUGAUUUCUUCCAGUGCCAGGUGGGUACUCUUGCCCAUGAUAAUCUUGGUCCCUGCUGCUGCUCCCCCAACACUUGGGGGGUUGUUGCAGCAGAACCUCUGCCUUGGUAUAUUUCCCUUCUGGACAUUAAUAUAACAGAAGCCCAUGCUUGCCUGCACACCCCACCGCCUCCGCCCCACCAUUUUGUGCAUUUCUUUUUCCUUCUAAGUAUUGCCAGAGGCAUAGCACACUGUUUGCAUGGGUGUGGCUUUGCUCAGAGCAAGCCAGAAAGCUGAAGUGGCUUUCUGUAGGAAAAAAACUAGAAGCUACAUCUACAUAUCAAUUAAACUUAGUGUCACUAAAGAAAACAAAAGAAGUAAAAUAUCCACCUCAAAGACUGUAAAUAUAUCCUGGUGCUAACCUAACUCACUUACUGUCCUCAGUAGCCUUUGAUCCUCACUAUCUCACAUUGCCUUUUUAUGUAUUUCUCUCACUGUAUUUUUAUAUUUCAUCUGUCUUGUCUUUAUCAUGGCAUUUUGUAUUUUAUAUUUUAUACUUUUAAACCCUUAAGGAAUGUACUCCCCAUAGAAUGAAAUUACACCCUGGACCAUUGUUCAAAACUGCAUUGAAAUAGUACUUGUAAAGUGAUAAAAUCUGCUAUAUUGGGAAGUCCCUUGAAUGAAAGGGAGUAUGAAUGACAAACCAAGUAUCUCUGGCUGUUCAUCGACAAUAGCCUAGCCAGAGGAACUUACAAUUACAAAACUCUACAAGCCAUUUUAAGCUAAUAAAGCCAAGGAACUGAUUCCUGGAACUAAGCAUCCAGCCUAUUGACUAUUCUUGUAACCCAUGACAAUAAAGCAAUUAAGUCAAUAAGUCAAGGGUGGACUCCCGAAACUCCAGUACCAGCAAGCAGAGACCGCUGUGACUAACAGCUGCCACGUACUACUCAAAACUCACGUUGGACAGUGAUCUUCGGAUUGGGCAGCCAAGAUGAUGCUAAUCUAUCACACAAGUCUGCCAGAAAGGGAUAAAAGCCAGUGAAGCAUAACCCUAAGUGGUGCCCUAAAAUCCAGCACCUCACCUACCAACACAGAAGGACAAGCAGGAGACCCACUUCUGCAGAAGACAUCACCAUAAAGGGAGCUGGCCACUUUGAGCAGAAUAAAGGGCAGGUAGAUAUACUGACUCCAGUGCUAAGAAAAUCACUACAGCAGGGACUAUACAUUAUAUUACAUGGGUUUUAAUGCCAUCGGUAUGAGUGAGAGCAUGCGCGUGUGUAUGUGCUAAAGUGACCAGUAUCCCUCAUAACUCAGAGUGUACAUUUCUCAUUUUCUUGGUAACUUCACACCCUGUCCAAUAAAUUAGAAUUUAUGAUGA
This is a long non-coding RNA of Alligator mississippiensis (American alligator), 7105 nucleotides long. RefSeq lists it as uncharacterized. Lineage: Eukaryota; Metazoa; Chordata; Crocodylia; Alligatoridae. The transcript is spliced from 2 exons. The record is from RefSeq and is a predicted model, not a curated record.